RNAcentral lists this ribosomal RNA (431 nucleotides) under uncultured bacterium. Its description in RNAcentral is "bacterial SSU rRNA". It matches the Rfam family "Bacterial small subunit ribosomal RNA", at positions 84 to 491 of the family's 1533-position model. The record is from RNAcentral.
UGCGUCUGAAAGCGGCGGACUGGUGAGUAACGCGUGGGUGAUCUGCCUUUGGGUUGGGGACAGCCGUUGGAAACAGCGGGUAAUACCGAAUACGCUUAUCAUGUUGCAGACAUGGUAAGGAAAGGGGCUUUGGCCCCGCCCUGAGAUGAGCCCGCGUCCCAUUAGCUUGUUGGUGCUGGUAACGGCAGUACCAAGGCGAAGAUGGGUAGCCGGCCUGAGAGGGCGAACGGCCACACUGGGACUGAGAUACGGCCAGACUCCUACGGGAGUGCAGCAGCUAAGAAUAUUCCGACAAUGGGCGCAAGCCUGACGGAGCGACGCCGACAGUGGAUGACGAACGUGCCGAAAGGUUGUAAACAUCCUUUAUGCGGGCGAAGAAUAAGUCUUGGCAGGGAAUGACAGGAUGGUGACGCCAGGCCCGACGAAUAAGA